This 256-nucleotide ribosomal RNA is filed under the name uncultured bacterium. Its description in RNAcentral is "partial 16S ribosomal RNA". It matches the Rfam family "Bacterial small subunit ribosomal RNA", at positions 99 to 354 of the family's 1533-position model. The record is from RNAcentral.
CGGACGGGUGAGUAACGCGUGGAUAACCUGCCGUAUACGAGGGGANUAACACUUAGAAAUAGGUGCUAAUACCGCAUAAGCGCACGGUUCCGCAUGGAACAGUGUGAAAAACUCCGGUGGUAUACGAUGGAUCCGCGUCUGAUUAGCCAGUUGGCGGGGUAACGGCCCACCAAAGCGACGAUCAGUAGCCGGCCUGAGAGGGUGAACGGCCACAUUGGGACUGAGACACGGCCCAAACUCCUACGGAAGGCAGCAG